UACGGAGGGUGCAAGCGUUAUCCGGAAUCACUGGGUUUAAAGGGUGCGUAGGCGGGCAGGUAAGUCAGUGGUGAAAUCUCCGAGCUUAACUUGGAAACUGCCGUUGAUACUAUCUGUCUUGAAUAUUGUGGAGGUGAGCGGAAUAUGUCAUGUAGCGGUGAAAUGCGUAGAUAUGACAUAGAACACCAAUUGCGAAGGCAGCUCGCUACACAUAUAUUGACUCUGAGGCACGAAAGCGUGGGGAUCAAACAGG
Molecule: ribosomal RNA, 253 nt
Filed under: uncultured bacterium
Lineage: Bacteria
Description: partial 16S ribosomal RNA
Rfam family: Bacterial small subunit ribosomal RNA
Source: RNAcentral